Belonocnema kinseyi is the source of this 479-nucleotide long non-coding RNA. RefSeq lists it as uncharacterized. The record is from RefSeq and is a predicted model, not a curated record. NCBI's taxonomy places the organism in Eukaryota, Metazoa, Arthropoda, Insecta, Hymenoptera, Cynipidae. The transcript is spliced from 3 exons.
CCAGAUGAAGGCGAAAUAAAGUGGGAAUAUUUUGUUCAUCUUUUCAACAUUGAUAUCAGUCAACCUGGUAACGCUCGAGUAUGUCCGGAGACUUCGAGAGGACAUGUUGAACUACAUAACACUGGAGAGAUGUGCGUUCGGUAUGCGGCAUAGCAUUGCAGAUUUUUAGCAACUCCGUUGUAGCAGCACUGUUGUUUUACUUGAGCCAAAAAUAUAACGAGUUUGAAGUUUGUGAAGCAACCGCUAAAUUCUGCAAAAGAAUCAGUAAACUUUUUGAUGCAUUGAACCGAGAGCAACCUAAUGAGGGUCUGAAUUAAGGAUCAAGAAAACCUUGAGUGGCUUAACAACGGAGAGGAAAACUUAAAAAAUGGCACUAUUAGAAAGGACGAAUUGCUCGCCCCUCAAACCGCAAGCCGCCUACGAAUCACAAUUACGUGAACCUUAGAAAUGUGCGAGUAUUUGAUUGACACACAAAACUU